This 355-nucleotide long non-coding RNA is filed under the name Ananas comosus (pineapple). RNAcentral describes it as "long non-coding RNA (ACOM_LNC038791)". Lineage: Eukaryota; Viridiplantae; Streptophyta; Magnoliopsida; Poales; Bromeliaceae. The record is from RNAcentral.
UAUAUCUCGAGAGAUAAUAUUUUAUUUUUAAUAAAAAUACAUUAUUAUAUAAUAUUUUAUCUAUAAAUAUAAAUUAUAAUAUUAAUAUAUAUAAUAUGAUAAUUAUUACAUAUCAAUAACAUAUAUAAUAUAUAAGAAGAGAAAAUAUAUAUAAUAGUUUUUUAUUUAUAAUUUUUACAAAUUUUUUUACUUUCAGUCAAACAACUAUAAUGUAAAAUUACUUUUUUCCCCUCCAAACUAAAUACUAGAGAGCAUAAAAUUUAUUUUCCUCCAAAAAAAAUUUUCUACUGAAAUUUUUUUGACAAUUUUACGUGAAAUCAAAUACACCCAGACUCUUCAAUUUUAACGCCAGUGA